AAUCAACGCUGGCGGCGUGCCUCAGACAUGCAAGUCGAACGCGAAAGGUUCCUUCGGGGACCGAGUAGAGUGGCGCACGGGUGAGUAACACGUAGGUAAUUUGCCUUUGGGUGGGGAAUAACUCAGGGAAACUUGAGCUAAUACCGCAUAAUGCAGCGGCUCGACAUCGAGACAGUUGUUAAAGCGGGGGAUUCGCAAGAACCUCGCGCCUAAAGAGAAGCCUGCGGCAGAUAGCUAGUUGGUAAGGUAAUAGGCUUACCAAGGCGACGAUCUGUAACCGGCCUGAGAGGGCGGUCGGUCACACUGACACUGACAUACGGGUCAGACUCCUACGGGAGGCAGCAGUCGGGAAUUUUGGGCAAUGGGCGAAAGCCUGACCCAGCAACGCCGCGUGAAGGAUGAAA
RNAcentral lists this ribosomal RNA (404 nucleotides) under uncultured bacterium. RNAcentral describes it as "bacterial SSU rRNA". It matches the Rfam family "Bacterial small subunit ribosomal RNA", at positions 32 to 413 of the family's 1533-position model. The record is from RNAcentral.